This 253-nucleotide ribosomal RNA is filed under the name uncultured bacterium. RNAcentral's name for it is "partial 16S ribosomal RNA". It matches the Rfam family "Bacterial small subunit ribosomal RNA", at positions 524 to 776 of the family's 1533-position model. The record is from RNAcentral.
AACGUAGGUGGCAAGCGUUAUCCGGAAUUACUGGGCGUAAAGGGUGUGCAGGCGGGGCUGCAAGUGGCGUAUGAAAUCUCCCAGCUUAACUGGGAUAGGUUAUGCCAGACUGCAGUUCUAGAGGACGAGAGAGGGGGGUGGAAUUCCGGGUGUAGUGGUGAAAUGCGUAGAGAUCCGGAGGAACCCCAGAGGCGAAGGCGGCCCCCUGGCUCGUACCUGACGCUCAGCCACGAAAGCAUGGGGAGCGAACGGG